This 1275-nucleotide ribosomal RNA is filed under the name metagenome. Its description in RNAcentral is "SSU rRNA". It matches the Rfam family "Eukaryotic small subunit ribosomal RNA", at positions 174 to 1444 of the family's 1831-position model. The record is from RNAcentral.
GACCGUUUCACUACGGAAGGGCUGUAUUUAUUGGAUACCAAAACCAUCCUUCCCUCGGGAAGUUUUGUUUGAUGAUUCACAAUAACUGAUCGGAUCACCACUGUGGUGGCGACAGGUCAUUUAACAUUCUGCCCUAUCAGCUUUCGAUGGUUGUGUAGUGGACAACCAUGGCCAUAACGGGUAACGGAGAAUCAGGGUUCGAUUCCGGAGAAGGAGCUUGAGAAUUGGCUACUACAUCUAAGGAAGGCAGCAGGCGCGCAAAUUACCCAAUCCCGAUUCGGGGAGGUAGUGACAAAAAAUAACAAUACCGGGCCUUUUUGGGCUUGGUAAUUGGAAUGAGGGAGAGUUAAACGGACCAUCGAGUAUCCAUUGGAGGGCAAGUCUGGUGCCAGCAGCUGCGGUAAUACCAGCUCCAAUAGCGUAUAUUAAAGUUGUUGCAGUUAAAAAGCUCGUAGUUGGACUUGUGUGCGCUGUCCGCGGGUGGCCUGCGCCCAAAAGGGCGUUUCGGUUCGGCCCCGGUGGCGCCUUGAAAUCUGCAGCUGGGGGGACGUUGGCCUUAACUGGUCGGCGACCGCACGCCGGCUGCUCGGUUACUGUGAGAAAAUUAGAGUGUUCAAGGCAGGCAUUGGGUGCAAUUGAAUACAUUAGCAUGGAAUAAUAAAAUAUGGCUCCUGCCGUAUUUUGUUGGUUUUGACUGGUGGGAGUAAUGAUUGAUAGGGACGGUUGGGGGUGCUAGUAUUGAGCGGCCAGAGGUGAAAUUCAUGGAUUCGCUCAAGACUAACUUAUGCGAAAGCAUUCACCAAGGACGUCCUCUUUAAUCAAGAACGAAAGUUGGGGGAUCGAAGACGAUCAGAUACCGUCGUAGUCUCAACCAUAAACUAUGUCGACUUGGGAUCGGCGGUAGUUUUUUCAUUAAGACACUGUCGGGACCACGGGAGAAAUCAAAGUGUCUGGACUCUGGGGGAAGUAUGGUCGCAAGGCUGAAACUUGAAGGAAUUGACGGAAGGGCACCACCAGGAGUGGAGCCUGCGGCUUAAUUUGACACAACACGGGGAAACUUACCAGGUCCAGAGAUGUAGAGGAUUGACAGAUUGAAGCUCUUUCUUGAUCACUUCGGUGGUGGUGCAUGGCCGUUCUUAGUUGGUGGAGUGAUUUGUCUGGUUAAUUCCGUUAACGAACGAGACCUCAGCCUGCUAGUGUAGUCGGCUGGAUUGCCUUUGGCGAUCCGUGAUUUUGACUUCUUAGAGGGACAAUCGACGCGCAGUCGAUGGAAGU